RNAcentral lists this ribosomal RNA (761 nucleotides) under Staphylococcus haemolyticus. RNAcentral describes it as "bacterial SSU rRNA". It matches the Rfam family "Bacterial small subunit ribosomal RNA", at positions 57 to 802 of the family's 1533-position model. Lineage: Bacteria; Bacillati; Bacillota; Bacilli; Caryophanales; Staphylococcaceae. The record is from RNAcentral.
GCAAGUCGAGCGACAGACAGGAGCUUGCUCCUUUGACGUUAGCGGCGGACGGGUGAGUAACACGUGGGUAACCUACCUAUAAGACUGGGAUAACUUCGGGAAACCGGAGCUAAUACCGGAUAAUAUUUCGAACCGCAUGGUUCGAUAGUGAAAGAUGGUUUUGCUAUCACUUAUAGAUGGACCCGCGCCGUAUUAGCUAGUUGGUAAGGUAACGGCUUACCAAGGCGACGAUACGUAGCCGACCUGAGAGGGUGAUCGGCCACACUGGAACUGAGACACGGUCCAGACUCCUACGGGAGGCAGCAGUAGGGAAUCUUCCGCAAUGGGCGAAAGCCUGACGGAGCAACGCCGCGUGAGUGAUGAAGGUCUUCGGAUCGUAAAACUCUGUUAUUAGGGAAGAACAUACGUGUAAGUAACUAUGCACGUCUUGACGGUACCUAAUCAGAAAGCCACGGCUAACUACGUGCCAGCAGCCGCGGUAAUACGUAGGUGGCAAGCGUUAUCCGGAAUUAUUGGGCGUAAAGCGCGCGUAGGCGGUUUUUUAAGUCUGAUGUGAAAGCCCACGGCUCAACCGUGGAGGGUCAUUGGAAACUGUAAAACUUGAGUGCAGAAGAGGAAAGUGGAAUUCCAUGUGUAGCGGUGAAAUGCGCAGAGAUAUGGAGGAACACCAGUGGCGAAAGGCGACUUUCUGGUCUGUAACUGACGCUGAUGUGCGAAAGCGUGGGGAUCAACAGGAUUAGAUACCCUGGUAGUCCACGCCC